Molecule: non-coding RNA, 21 nt
Filed under: Caenorhabditis elegans
Lineage: Eukaryota; Metazoa; Nematoda; Chromadorea; Rhabditida; Rhabditidae
Source: RNAcentral
UCUGCAAAUUGAAUGGUGUCG